UGCCCAAGAGAUCGGGAUAACACCUGGAAACAGAUGCUAAUACCGGAUAACAACAGAUGAUGCCUAUCAACUGUUUAAAAGAUGGUUCUGCUAUCACUCUUGGAUGGACCUGCGGUGCAUUAGCUAGUUGGUAGGGUAACGGCCUACCAAGGCGAUGAUGCAUAGCCGAGUUGAGAGACUGAUCGGCCACAUUGAGACUGAGACACGGCCCAAACUCCUACGGGAGGCAGCAGCU
Molecule: ribosomal RNA, 235 nt
Filed under: uncultured Lactobacillus sp.
Lineage: Bacteria; Bacillati; Bacillota; Bacilli; Lactobacillales; Lactobacillaceae
Description: partial 16S ribosomal RNA
Rfam family: Bacterial small subunit ribosomal RNA
Source: RNAcentral